UAGGGAAUCUUCCACAAUGGACGCAAGUCUGAUGGAGCAACGCCGCGUGAGUGAAGAAGGUUUUCGGACCGUAAAGCUCUGUUGUUGGUGAAGAAGGAUAGAGGUAGUAACUGGCCUUUAUUUGACGGUAAUCAACCAGAAAGUCACGGCUAACUACGUGCCAGCAGCCGCGGUAAUACGUAGGUGGCAAGCGUUGUCCGGAUUUAUUGGGCGUAAAGCGAGCGCAGGCGGAAGAAUAAGUCUGAUGUGAAAGCCCUCGGCUUAACCGAGGAAUUGCAUCGGAAACUGUUUUCUUGAGUGCAGAAGAGGAGAGUAGAACUCCAUGUGUAGCGGUGGAAUGCGUAGAUAUAUGGAAGAAUACCAGUGGCGAAGGCGGCUCUCUGGUCUGCAACUGACGCUGAGGCUCGAAAGCAUGGGUAGCGAACAGGAUUAGAUACCCUGGUAGUCCAUGCCGUAAACGAUGAGUGCUAAGUGUUGGGAGGCUUCCGCCUCUCAGUGCUGCAGCUAACGCAUUAAGCACUCCGCCUGGGGGCAGUACGACCGCAAGGUUGAAAC
This 555-nucleotide ribosomal RNA is filed under the name uncultured bacterium. RNAcentral's name for it is "partial 16S ribosomal RNA". It matches the Rfam family "Bacterial small subunit ribosomal RNA", at positions 355 to 900 of the family's 1533-position model. The record is from RNAcentral.